This 486-nucleotide ribosomal RNA is filed under the name uncultured bacterium. RNAcentral's name for it is "partial 16S ribosomal RNA". It matches the Rfam family "Bacterial small subunit ribosomal RNA", at positions 30 to 507 of the family's 1533-position model. The record is from RNAcentral.
AUUGAACGCUGGCGGCAUGCCUUACACAUGCAAGUCGAACGGCAGCACGGGUGCUUGCACCUGGUGGCGAGUGGCGAACGGGUGAGUAAUACAUCGGAACAUGUCCUGUAGUGGGGGAUAGCCCGGCGAAAGCCGGAUUAAUACCGCAUACGAUCUACGGAUGAGAGCGGGGGACCUUCGGGCCUCGCGCUAUAGGGUUGGCCGAUGGCUGAUUAGCUAGUUGGUGGGGUAAAGGCCUACCAAGGCGACGAUCAGUAGCUGGUCUGAGAGGACGACCAGCCACACUGGGACUGAGACACGGCCCAGACUCCUACGGGAGGCAGCAGUGGGGAAUUUUGGACAAUGGGCGAAAGCCUGAUCCAGCAAUGCCGCGUGUGUGAAGAAGGCCUUCGGGUUGUAAAGCACUUUUGUCCGGAAAGAAAUCCUUGGCCCUAAUACGGUCGGGGGAUGACGGUACCGGAAGAAUAAGCACCGGCUAACUACGUG